This 435-nucleotide ribosomal RNA is filed under the name uncultured bacterium. Its description in RNAcentral is "bacterial SSU rRNA". It matches the Rfam family "Bacterial small subunit ribosomal RNA", at positions 32 to 507 of the family's 1533-position model. The record is from RNAcentral.
AGAAGACGCUGGCGGCAGGCCUCAAACAUGCAAGUCUAGGGGGUGUAGCAAUACAUCACCGGCGGACGGGUGCGUAACGCGUGGGAAUAUACCUAUUGGUUCGGAACAACUGAGGGAAACUUCAGCUAAUACCGGAUACGUCCUAACGGAGAAAGAUUUAUCGCCAAUAGAUUAGCCCGCGUUCGAUUAGCUAGUUGGUGGGGUAACGGCCCACCAAGGCGACGAUCGAUAGCUGUUCUGAGAGGAAGAUCAGCCACACUGGGACUGAGACACGGCCCAGACUCCUACGGGAGGCAGCAGUUGGGAAUCUUGGACAAUGGGGGAAACCCUGAUCCAGCCAUGCCGCGUGAGUGAUGAAGGCCUUCGGGUUGUAAAACUCUUUCGCGCACGACGAUAAUGACGGUAGUGCGAGAAGAAGCUCCGGCUAACUUCGUG